CCUCUGGUUUACCGGUUGUGCCGCCAGGUGCAUCGCCGGGUAUCUAAGUCUGGAUCGGAUAAGUGCUGAAAGCAUCUAAGUACGAAGCCGGCCACAAGAUAAGAUUUCUUAGGGUCGUCAAAGACUAUGACGUUGAUAGGAUGCAGGUGUAAAGCUGGAGACAGCAAAGCCGAGCAUUACUAAUUGCCCGUUGACUUUUGU
Molecule: ribosomal RNA, 201 nt
Filed under: Bacteroides caecigallinarum
Lineage: Bacteria; Pseudomonadati; Bacteroidota; Bacteroidia; Bacteroidales; Bacteroidaceae
Description: partial 23S ribosomal RNA
Rfam family: Bacterial large subunit ribosomal RNA
Source: RNAcentral